UCAGAAGUGAACUGCAUUUAAUAUAGUCUCUUAACUGGCACCAGUUUCAGAACCAGGGAUGCAGAAAUCUUGAGUAAGUGUGCUACUGGCAGUUAGUAGGCAUCUAGUAGGAUUGUGUUAUUUAGUUAUUCUUGACACUUGUUGAGAUGACAAUUUCUUGGUGCUUUUACUGAGUGGUGCAAGUACUUUCCCAGAACAUGCUUGGAGAUUGAUCCUACCCCAAGCCCCUGUUCACCUGGACAAACCUAGGAUGUAGUAGGGAAACAAUUAAUUGAAUGCAAUUUAUAAGCAUCUUUCUUUAUCCUGGAGAUAACUGACUUACACACUGAAAUAUCUGCAGAAUUUGAGGGAAUCUCAGCACAUAGCAUUGUGGCAUCCAUGGUUUUCUGAGGGUGAUUCCUAAGAAAUCACUGGAACCAGAAGAUCCUGAAAUGUGGAGUCAAAAUGGGACAAGGUGAAAAACUGUCAAUCAGUUAAUAAGAAGGCGUAGUUGUGUACCCACCACCUUGCUUCCUCUCAGGUUCUGAUCCACUUCCUCAUCUUCUGAGGCCAUGUCAGAACUCAUUUGUGUAUGUGUAUUAGUAUGUUCUCAUAUAUCUGCUCUAGAGAGAAAGAUGGAUCAUGGAUAUCUGGGAUGAGCCAGACCUACUGAUCACUGAACUUCUGUUUCCUGUCAACACAAACUUCUUCACAAGCUGCACGUUACAAGACUGAGGCAGACUCUUUUAAUGAGCACUGACUGUUUUCUGGAGCACUAAACUGGCCAUAGUAACAUUAAUUGAUAUUACACCUAAGCUUAGUCAUAAGAGCACAUGUCAACUCACUUCACU
Molecule: long non-coding RNA, 830 nt
Organism: Gallus gallus (chicken)
Lineage: Eukaryota; Metazoa; Chordata; Aves; Galliformes; Phasianidae
Source: Ensembl